Molecule: ribosomal RNA, 90 nt
Filed under: Clostridium sporogenes
Lineage: Bacteria; Bacillati; Bacillota; Clostridia; Eubacteriales; Clostridiaceae
Description: partial 16S ribosomal RNA
Rfam family: Bacterial small subunit ribosomal RNA
Source: RNAcentral
CGGCCGAAGGUGGGAUUAGUGAUUGGGGUGAAGUCGUAACAAGGUAGCCGUAGGAGAACCUGCGGCUGGAUCACCUCCUUUCUAAGGAGA